This 253-nucleotide unclassified non-coding RNA is filed under the name uncultured Alphaproteobacteria bacterium. Its description in RNAcentral is "contains 16S-23S intergenic spacer region". It matches the Rfam family "Bacterial small subunit ribosomal RNA", at positions 524 to 776 of the family's 1533-position model. The record is from RNAcentral. Lineage: Bacteria; Pseudomonadati; Pseudomonadota; Alphaproteobacteria.
UACGGAGUGGGCAAGCGUUGUUCGGAAUUACUGGGCGUAAAGGGCGCGUAGGCGGCGCGACCAGUCAGGCGUGACAGCCCCGGGCUCAACCUGGGAACUGCGUUUGAUACUGUCGUGCUAGAGGUUGGAAGAGGAGAGUGGAAUUCCCAGUGUAGAGGUGAAAUUCGUAGAUAUUGGGAAGAACACCAGUGGCGAAGGCGGCUCGCUGGUCCACACCUGACGCUGAGGCGCGAAAGCGUGGGGAGCAAACAGG